CUCUUUUAAACAGGACCCUCCACUUUUCCACCAGUUUGUCCACCGGUGAAAAGGAGAAGCCAGCCAAGAACCAGCUUCUGGCUACCUUGAUCAGAAGGUUGAUGAAGGCAAUGAAACAAAGAUGGAAAAACACAUCACACAGGCCCUUACCAGAUGCCAGCAUCUUGAUAUUGGACUUCCCAGCCUUCAGAACUAUAAGGCUCCAGUCAAGCAACCCACCUUAUCAAGUGGACCAGGCACAGCUCCUACUUAUCCCUGAGUAGUGGGUAUCAGUUUCCUGCUAACCUCGGAAUUGUUCAAAGCCCAUCACAUUCUCCUGCAGGAACCAGGGAGCACCUCACCCUCUUGUUGCUACAAAGCUUGCCACCCACAGCCCCUGCCUGUUCACCCUGCUCCUGAGGGCAACCCCUGUAUGGCCAGCAUCCCAUGCUGUGUUCACCUCUCCCAAGCUGCGAGUGUAUGUGAAUAAUAACUGCCGUCAAUCGCAUCUGUUAAGCAUCGAGUGUAAUGUGUUUGGUCAUCCUCAUAAUUCUAGUGUGGAAUGUCUCCCUCACCAAUGGGGUGAACAGGAGGGAAUGAAAACAAUGUGUAAAAUAUUUAGACACCGCAAGAUACAUAUUUAGAGCCUGGCAAAUGUUAGUUAAGGCCAUUAUUGCUAUUAUUUUGCAAAAGGAUAAUAAUUUGGUUUUCUUUUAACAAAAUUUGUUUGGGCAGAAUGCUUAGCUCAUAGUGUUAUUCUUAGGUUCCUCCAAACAGCUUUUCUGGAAUUUUGUUUCCCUCAUUAGCAAUUACAAAGAUAUGCUAAUGCUCUGCACCAAGUGGCAGCUACAUGCUUGAGACCAACACUGAAAAUCAGUCAUGGAAUCACUGCAUAUCUGAACAAGGGCCACGAGAGGAGGCACAGAUGGGUCAACUGACUUGAGCAGAGCCACCCAGCAAAUUCAGCGUCGGAGUAUGCUUCCCUUGCCUGAGAAUCGUUACAAAGAGGAGCAUCUGAUGAGGAAAUGAGAACUCCAGCCAGAAACCAGCAAUAAAUUGAGGGCUCCUAUAUGAGCAAUGCAUUCUCCAGCCCCAAUCAAGCCUUUGGAUAACUGCAGCUCCUGCCAGCAUUUUGACUGCACUUCAUGAAACACUUUGAGUCAGAGCCACCUACCUAAGCCACUCCAAAAUUCCUGACCGUCAAAAACUUUGAGAUAAUAAAUGCUUGUUGUUUUAAACUACUACCUCUUAAGGUAGUUUUUAAUAUAGCAGUAGAUUACUAAUAUAAGGCACUACUAUAUUCUCAAAAACUUCUGAGAAUCUUACCCCAAACCACCAGCUUUAUUACUAUCAGGGUAUCAUAAUGACAGGUUGUAAGUUUACAACCUGUAUUAGUCUAGUUAACGCUUGUGUUAAUCAGGCUAGUUAACACUAGCCACUGUAACAAACAAGACCCCCCACCCUCGCCCCCGCCAAAUCACAGUGGUUUUACAGAGUAAAAGCUCAGUUCUCCUUUGUGAGAAGUCCAGUUUAGCUAAAACAUCUGGGCAAAUUGUAGACCAAGAUCUCUGAGGAGGGGAGGGAGGAAUGGAAGAAUUGACUAUCUUGGUCAGAAAAUGCCACACAUCAUUCAUGCCCACACCCUGUUGGCCCAGAUCAAUCACUGCCACCAACCUAACUACCUGGAAGGCUGCUGGGAAAUGUGGGGGAGUCCCAGGAAUAUUUGACAACUCCUAUUGUCACUGCCACACAACCCUACUUGGGUUUUCUAAUUUAAAAGCCAGAAAAUACAUGGCUUUAAAGAGAUAUGUAAUCCAUGUUUGUGCUUCCUGCACCAGCCUGGGGAUUUAAAUGAGAAGCAUAUUCAUCGUAAUAAACAUUAUUCUUCAGAUUGUAUCAAUAAUUAUUAUUGCUCCCUGUCAAAUCCCCAUCUUAAAUUGCUUUUCUGGGAAUCCCCAGGGAAUGUCUCCUGGGCAUUUGAGACAAACGUAAUCAGAUACCACAAGGAGUUGCCUUUUCCUUCUUCUCUCCUUUUGGGCAGUGUCCAUUGCUGCACUCUCUGCCAAUGACACUAUGAGCAGAAGUCUGCCUGUCGGUGAUGAGCAAGCACUGUGCUUCCAGCACAAUACAAACAGACUGAGCUCCCUGAGAGAUGGGAUGACUGCGUCUCUCCCGCUUGUGUCUUACUUGGUCCUCUGGAACCGAAAGCUAAGCUUUAAGUAGAAACAGCUCUUCAGGGCUCACACAUAAGUCUGUGGUCAGAGUCAUUCUCUAAAACAAAGAUGGCGCUGGGCACUCACUCCACCGCCUGCUCCCACCCACCCUCUGUGGUGCAUUUCUUCCACCCUCUCCUCUUGCCAUCCCUCCACUCAUGAGCAUCCUAUAAGCACCUUUAUCACAAGUCUUAUAAAGAGAAAAGACAUCUGAAGAAUGGUGGAGUUCAUGCUGGUGGAUGAUACAAGAAUGCUAUAGUUCUGCGUCAUUAGAUUUAUGGCUGCUAGGAAUACACUGCCUGGCUAUUAGAGAUGAGAAGCUAUUUUAAAUUAUGUUGUAUUUUUCAGCCUUUCCUCAAGCUUGUCCUUAUUGAACUUUCCCACCUUUCCCCUCACUUUUCAAGAGAUUUUCAAAUAUACUCGUUGAGCACAUUGUGACUGCACACCUAACAUGUGCGUAAUUCUGGGACAUAGAACUCCCUAAAAGUGUGAACUUCCACCUGAACCCACCUUCUCUUUUGUAGGAUUUUCCAAACUUCCCCAUUGUUUCCUUUCCUAAAUAAAAUAGUUUGGAAAAAAAAGUUAUAAAUAUUUCUCAGACUUCCUGGAAAUUUUAUUUAGCAUUUUGAUAAGUGAAGUGUAAAGAAGUUGAAAUAUGCAGAUCAAAUUUCCGUUAAAAUACACGAACCCUCAUAUGAAUGAGAGGAAACGUGCUUUGCAAAACCAUGGUUUUGGUUUUUCUGAACCAAAGAUACUUGAAAAAAAUAGUUUGAGACAUUCAGCAAUUCCACAGUGUGGCUGGGCUCACCCAUCCCUAAUUUCAAGGGACAUUAAAUCCAUCUGUUUCUCAUUCAUUGAUUCUCAGCUCACCAAAAUGCUAUUUGGCAAAUGUGAUGGGACGUCCAGGAAGCUGUGCAGGCUGUUUUUAAGCCAUGUUGUUCUCAACUGCGAAGUGGGCUUGGCCAACGUUCCCUUGGAUCAGCUUCUUUAUCUUCGAUAUGGUACUUGCAAAGUCCUAUCGGAUUUGAAACUCUCUGAAGUCAACUUAUAGAUAUAUAAGGGCUCUGGCAGCUCAAUGGGUCCAGUCCCCUGCCUCAGGGUGGAUUUAUAUCCGAGUUGUUGUGACUCCAGUUUAGUUUUGUCUUCAUUGCUCACCUGUUCUUGUGAUCAACAACUUUCCUGCUCAGGAAACUCCUCCUUAUAUCUCUCCUGAAAGGCUCCUGUACUGUAGUGGACACUGUUAAUGCAUCAUGCAGCUCUCCUAGGAGAGCCUUUGCUGGGUCUCUGUCCCCAUCACUCAACUUCUGCAAGACUUGCUGCAACAAGCUAGCACAUGGAGCUCACAACUCUGAAGCCCUGGGUUAUGUUAUCCUUAUUCCAGGAGAGGGGUCAGGAGUCUCUCACUCCCACUUGGUCAAGGAGAUGGAAAUGUUGACAGGUGAUAUGGUUUGGAUUCCUGUCCUUGCCCAAAUCUCGUGUGGAAUUGUAAUCCCCAGUGUUGGAGGAGAGGCCUGGUGGGAGUGACUGGAUCACAGGGGCAGGUUUCCCCCUUGCUGUUCUCAUGAUAGCGAGUGAGUUCUCACUAGACCUGGUUGUUUAAAAGAGUGUAGCCCUUCUCUUUUCGAUCUCUUCCUCCUGCUCCAGCCAUGUAGGACGUGCCUACUUCCCCUUCACCUUCUGCCAUGAUUGAAAUUUUCCUGAGGCCUCCCAGCCAUGCUACCUGUCCAGCCUGCAGAACUGUGAGCCAAUUAAACUUCUUUUCUUUAUAAAUUACCCAGUCUCAGGUAAUUCUUUAUAGCAGCAUGAGAAUGGAAUAAUACGACAGGCCUGCACGAAGGAGCUCCAGAUUCAGCUCUACCUUUCAUCUCACUGACAGCUGUCAUGCUUUAGUUUAAAUGAAUUUCCUCGAGUUGCAGGGAUAUCUGAACAACGCUCCAUAUUUCUGAUAGUCAGAGAUCACAAAAGCACAACAAAACCCUAGAUGCUCAUAGCCUGGUUGUCUCAUAGCUCUGGCUCUGACACUAGGGAAACGUAUGAGGCUGCUUCUGCUCACCUGUGACUCCCCCAGUGGGAGAAUGGAGGGAGGUGGCAAAGUAAUGACAGUCAGCAUUCUUGGCAAACAACCCACAGAGUGGGCACUGCCAAUGCUGGGUUAGUAGGCAAAGGAUUAUAUGUGUUUUCAGGGAAGUAUGCACAGAGCAGACCACCAACUCCUGGGUAAAUCCCUGACACAUGGCAAGUGCUCAAUCAACAAUGUUUGAUGUUGAACCAGUAAAGCCCUCCAUAAAGUGUGGCAAAGCAGGAAGAUUUCCUCACUCAGAGGAUUAUAAUUCCUCCAAGGAGAAGCCACAGAGCACAGUGCUUAAGAGUUUGGGAUGCUUAGGUUUGAAUCCACCUCAUCUGCUCAUCAGCUGGGUGACCUUGGGCAAGUCCCAUAAACUUUCUGGGCUUUUGUUUUGACAUUUGUCAAUAUGAGAUAGUAAUAGUACCUGCUUUUGUAUCAAGGAUUAAAUGUGUAAAUUCAUGUACAGCUGUAAGAACGGUACCCAACACUUAGUGUGUGCUUUGUAAAUGCCAGAUGUGAUUGUUAUUAGCAACCUCACAGAGUAUUAAUGUCGCGUCAGGGGAAGUUCCGGGACAUGACACAGCUCUAAAAGCAUGAGAGAGGUAAUGUUAAUCACACCCGAGAAGAGAAUUCAUAAAAUGCUCCUCGGCUUCAUCAUUUGGGGAUUGAAUAAUCGUAGUCUGAAGCUUCUCUUAAGUGUGGAACUCAGACCAUCAGCAUGGGUAUCACUUGGCAGCUUGUAAUACAUGUGGAAACUUAGGAAACUCCCAAAUCUAAUGGAUCAGAAUUCCAUUUCAACUAGCUCCCUAGUGAUUAGCAUGCACAUUAAUUUUAAAAUCCAAUUUAUUGUGGUAAAAGUAAGAUAAAGAUCUAUUUAAACUGUCCUGGUUGAUGUGCUUUGAGUGAUGUAUAAACCUGUGAAUCGUCGUUGCAACUAAGAUUCAGAACAUUUUCAUUGCUCCCAGAGUUUGCUCAAGGUCCUUUCAGUCCAUUUCUCCCUCCACUCCUGACCCCAAGCAACUUCUGAUUAACUUUCUGUGCAUGAAAUCAUACAGUAUGUACUUCUGGCUCAUUUUGCUCAGCAGAAUGGCUUUGAUGUUCAUCAUAUUGUUUUUCUCAUCAGUAGAUCAUUGAUUUUUCUUGUAUUCCAUUGUAUGGGCAGACCAUAUUUUUUUAUCCAUUUACCGAUUGAUAGAUGUAUG
RNAcentral lists this long non-coding RNA (5459 nucleotides) under Homo sapiens (human). RNAcentral describes it as "HSALNT0404120". The record is from RNAcentral. Lineage: Eukaryota; Metazoa; Chordata; Mammalia; Primates; Hominidae.